CACUGUUAGCUAUUAUCAGAGAUAGCUGUGUAUGGAGAAUUCCUGAAACCUCCAAUCCUCUGAAACUAGAGUCAGGAAACAGACUUUGACACAUAGACCAAAAACAGAGGUGACAGGUUCAUCUUAUGUACCAACUGGCCAGUUGGCAAUGAGUGCCUAGAAUGUGCCUGAGGCACAAUUCUAAGAGCUAUCUGGCUCAGUAGGGAAGAGUAUGCUAUGAUCUAUUAGUGAGAUGUCUGUUCUGGGUGGCAGAGAGAGUCAUGUCAGCAUGUGUGCUAUAGAUUUGCCUUCUUUAGACUGAAGCUUCAUUCUAGACAGUUUGGGAGCCAGUAACAAAGGGCUGGGGCUGGCCUUGUCCACUUGUGCUAGUCUCCACUUGCUCCAUGUUUUACUCCUAGCACAAAGUUGAGACAUGGCCAGAGCCCAAACCCAGCUGCCUUUUCCUCAAGAAACUUUUGCUGGCAUUAAUCAAGACCUGUAAAUCCACCAUGUGGAUGACACAGGCUGUGUGCCCAGCCCAGACUCUGCGAGCGACAGAAGAGGAGGGAGUUGCUUAGUGACAUGACACAAAGGGCGUCUUUGAUUCAUCACCCGGCCCCAGCCCCAAGCCCCUGGCCAGCAGCGAGGAACGGCUGCAAAUGAGCAAUAGGACUCCUUUACAAAUGUCACUUUGCUGUAAAAUGUAAAUGUUUAACAUUUAGACACGAACGCUGACUCCCAAAAUGCCUAGUGCUGGGUGGCUUUUAUUCAUUCUCUUAGGGAUUCUUUGUCCUCCCAUGGUGAGAGAUUUCACUGCAUGAUUUACACCCCUGUGCUUGUUAAAUUGCUGGCAUGUCUUGCCCCAGAUAGGGCAGCAAAAGAGCAGAGAUUUGCAGGGGACUUUAUACCUUUCCUGUUAAUGCAGAGUAUUAAAUAUACAGUGCAAUUCCAUCGGCAGCCACUGCUCAGAGGUGCUAUGAACUCUGAACAGAGGAGAUUUCAUUUUAUUUCCAAUUAUCCUGGACUUCAAAAUAUAGGAUUGUGUCAUUGAAGGUCGAGAAAGACCAAAAACAGCAAUAAAAUAUAUUCCCUGGGAGUUCUGUCUUCUAGACCUGCUCAUCAGCUAAUUCUGUCUUAGUGGUCUGGGACUAAGGGGCAGGUACAUUGAGGAUAUGGGUGAUUGUUCUUGGGGCUAAAUUCCUUUUCCCCCCAAGACAAUUCUAAUGAGGGUAAGCCCUGUAGCCACUCUCAGCCUCCUGAUGAUUGGCCUUUGGAUAAAGAUGGACCUAGCAUAAAAAGUAAGUCAAAGUUCAGACAUCUGGCAAGACUCAGAGCCAGGCAAGGAAAGCAAUAGGGUCACAGGAAUCACUGGGCGUAGGGGCAGGAAGAUCUAGAUGGCAGUUUCACCCAACUUUCGUUUCCUCUAGAACAUAUUGUUUGUUGAAUUUUUCUCUGCACCCACCCCACACUUGCUGCCUCCCACAGUUUUGAUCACAGUAGGCACUUAAUGCCUAUUUGUUUAAUUAAUUAAAUAAGUAGUGAGUCACUGGCAAACCUAGCGCUGGCUGAAGAGAUUAUGUCUAAAGUUCCAAUGGCUGAAUUUUACAACUUCGGACAAGUCUCUUAACCUCUCCGUAUGAGAUUUUAUGUUAUUCCUGUCACAUUCUUUGGAAGUAACUGAGAUAGAAAGAGAUUAUUAUUAAUUUACCAAUAAGAAACAGAGGCUCAGACAGGCUACAGGUUUUUCUUGAUAUCAUGUUGAGUUAGUAAUAAAGUCAAAAUGAAAAUUCUGCUUUUUUGAUUUCUCAUUCGAUUUUUGUUUUUCUUCAGUUCACCAUACUGAAUGUUCACACUUUGCACCAUGAACCCAGGUGAGGUACCUAUGAUCAUCCAGGCCAGGACCAGGGUGAGGCAAGUGAGGAGCUGAAGUACACCAUGGUGUAUAUCUAUCACUUUCUUUAUCCAAUCCACUGUUGAUGGGCACCUGCGUUGAUUCCAUGUCUUUGUUAUUGUGAACACCACAGCAAUGAACAUGUAAGUACAUGUGUCCUUUUG
This 2034-nucleotide long non-coding RNA is filed under the name Homo sapiens (human). Its description in RNAcentral is "HSALNT0181227". Lineage: Eukaryota; Metazoa; Chordata; Mammalia; Primates; Hominidae. The record is from RNAcentral.